GGGCAGAGAGACUUCUCUGAGGCCGUGGGACUGUCCAAGGACAGGGCUCUCCAGGCAGAUGGAAUGGCCCGUGUAGUGUCCAAGCCCAGAGCUCCUGCUGUCACUUGAGUAAGACCCAGCCGACCCUGCUGUCAUGUCCAGCUCUUGGUCAGACGGUAAGUGUGUGGAACGACCGGUAGGCUCAAGGUUUAUAGCCACGCUCCCCACAGCCCCUUUAACCUUUUCCUCCAGAUCCUGGGAAACCAGACAAGCAGUCCCCUGUCGAUCGCCUGCAUUCUCUGCUCCUUGUUGCUGUGGAGCCACCUGCCUGGCUCUCCCAGUGUCACUUUUGGCCAUCGGUGUAAUUUACUUCUGGUUGAAAGCCUCAAACACCAAGAAGCACAUCAUCUGAAAUACCCCUGACAUGUCUCUCACCGUCGGUGCGGGGCAAGUUGUGCACACCUAAGACUGUCGGUUGAGAUUUCAGCUGAAGGAGAGCAGAGAUGAAGUUACCCGGCACCAAAUACGAGGCAGGCCUCUGUGGGCCCCAUCCACAGCCAGCCGUUGCCGGGCUCCCUGGUGGGCACACUCUUUCUGGCCUUGCUGAAAGAUGGUUUGCUCGGAUGAAAUAAAUACGCCCCUAAUUGUCUGUGGUGCAGGAAAGCAAUCCCAUAAGCAUUAAUUUGCCCAAGCCCAGAGUGUGUGAGCAGGAGCCUGCCUGACAUGUUUUUCUUUUCUAUUAACACUUCUGUGAUAAACAGCUUAGAUGCACCGAGAAAAAUUAAUGAAACUAUUGUAACAACCAUGCACAUGUAGGUAAUUUAUUAAGGACAAUUAAAAAGCUUUAAAAAUCAUCCAUGGGGCAAAAUGAACAGGAAGAUGGUGUGUGGAGGAUUUUGGCAGGGAGCCUCCCCGUGGGUUUAUGGAGCAGGUUUCUCCUCCCACACCCCUCACCCCUGUUAGAGUGAACAACAGCGGAGGGCGUGGAUCUCGGCUGGCGAAACCUUUAAUGACAAAUUCCAUGUAGACUCCUGGUUUCCAGAAGCCGGGGUGGGAACAGGGUAUGGGGAGCUGUGAGGGACAGAUCUUUGAGGUCCAGGAAAGCUAUCUGGGACCUGUUUGGCUUUGAGGUCUUGGGACAGAGGUAUGCGUGUCCCUGGACCUCACCUCCAAGGGUUCCUGGGUCGAGGAAGGGAGUUCCCUCCCUCCUGGGUAACAUUUGGUCAUUUCUGUAAGGGCUCUAGUUUGGGUUGUCUCUGGGAGCCUCCAAAGCAGGUGAGGAGCAGAAGAGGAAGCCUUGAGAGGUCAAGGUGGUACUGUGAUGGUGUCAUUAGCCAUUUACUAGCGCAGACCUUGGGUUGGCCUCUGCCUAAGUCCCCUGAGACUCAGCUUCCUAAUCUGCAAAAUGGGGAUAACAGAUAGAAGUAGGUGGGGGGAAACUGGAGUGAAGGUCACCCAAGAUUCAUGCAUGCAGAGUGCUUUGCGUGAUCCCUGACACCUAGGUAGUCAGUGCUUAGUAAAUGUUAACUAGUCUUGGUCAUCAUCGAGGACUUCAUUGUUGGGUUGUUGACUGAAGGCCGAGCUAGGGGCGAAACCCACAUCUCUACCCCCCAGGCCUAUACCUACCGGCCCACCCUGUGCAUCCCCCAUCACAGGUCUUGAGUGACCAGAAUGCACACAUAAUGGCCGGUGUGAGCACCGAAAUGCCCUCACUGGACCUACUCAGAGGGAUGGGGCUGCCAUGCUUCCUCCUGGUCUCCAAUCCACCCCUUCUCCAUCCACGUCCUGCUUUAUAGACCCAGAGUAACUGAUCUUCCCCAUCUUGGCAUUGUCUUCACAUAUAUAUGAGGGACUGGGUUUGCUAAGAUUUUUUUUUCUAAUUGGUUGAUGACCCAAGAAAUCUUUGACCUUGUAGACCAGCAGUUUCUCAAACAUAGAUACAUUUAAUAAAGCAAACCUCUGUUAAUGGA
Long non-coding RNA from Callorhinus ursinus (northern fur seal), 1949 nucleotides. RefSeq lists it as uncharacterized. The record is from RefSeq and is a predicted model, not a curated record. NCBI's taxonomy places the organism in Eukaryota, Metazoa, Chordata, Mammalia, Carnivora, Otariidae.